This 348-nucleotide long non-coding RNA is filed under the name Mytilus galloprovincialis (Mediterranean mussel). Lineage: Eukaryota; Metazoa; Mollusca; Bivalvia; Mytilida; Mytilidae. The record is from RNAcentral.
CUAUUUUGUUCUGUUAUUUAACAGUUUGAAACAAAUUGCUUCCCUUUGUCGGUUGUAGACUUGUUCUCUACUAGACAAAAUUUACUUUUGCCUUCUCAAAGAUAUAUUUCAAAGUAAUAGGUCGGUCUUUUAACAUUAUUUUUUUUGAGGGGGGGGGAAUGACGGCUGGUAUCAAAAGCUUUUAGCUGAACAAAACAUAAAUAUAAGUUACACGCAAAGAUAACUUUUUUCUUUCUAUUUGAUUUUGAUUUUCAAUUAAAAUGUAUAUCCCUCCUAAGGGAGACAACUAAACGGAUUUCUAAUUAUAAGGUAAAUUACGGGAAUUGUAAAAUAACUAUUGAAACUGUC